Molecule: long non-coding RNA, 2061 nt
Filed under: Podarcis lilfordi (Lilford's wall lizard)
Lineage: Eukaryota; Metazoa; Chordata; Lepidosauria; Squamata; Lacertidae
Source: RNAcentral
UUUUUUAUAAUUAAUAUUUAUUGAAUUUUCAAAGAAUAACAACAAAAAUUUCCAAAAAAAAAUUUUAAGGAUACAAAAAACAAAAUUAGUGCAUAAACAAAAAAAAAAAAGAAAAGAAAACCCAGCCGCAAAGAGAAAAAAAGAGAAACAGAAAAACAAAAAUAUAAAGUCCUUUACAAUCUCUAUUGACUUCCUUUCUAGACUUCCUCCUCCUCCCCUCUUUUGUUUCUUAAUUUUUAAUUUUUGCAGCAAAUCCUUUCUGUUUUUUCAUAACAAUCUGUCAUUACGUUUCCUUAUUCUAUUUUCCCUCUUGUCAUAUAAAAACUUUAAAACUCAUAGCUUAUAUUCAAUAUUUACCAAAUUCUUGCAUCAUUACCUUUUUACGAAUCAUUUACCAAUCCUUACUUAAGUCAUGUAAUUUCAUUCAACAUCCUUCAAACAUUUGUAAGCAUUCCCAAUAUUAAAAAGUAAAAAAGAAAAAAUAAUAAGUCAAAUUUAGUCCAGUCAGCUUCCAACCUCCCCUCCCCUGGACCCGGGAUUGUCAGUCCUUUUAACCUCGGUAAUCCGGCUCUUAACCUGGUUGUCUCGUAUCCGAGGCCCUCAAGUCUCUUUCUUGCCCCUUUCGCCACUCUUGUUGAUGAUUCCUUUCCAGUCGUGGAUGCUCCAGCAAGAAAAUGCUUUUGACCCUUUGCAACAAUUCCAUCCCAAACCCAUUGCCCAAGCCAGACAGCAAAUAAUACCACUUCAAAUUUCCACAAAGCUUGGAGACUUCGGCUACUCCAAUCCUCUGAUAGCCCAUCACCAGACUCGGAAGGUCCAAAUAACCAUAUGGAGGGGGGGUCGAUCCAUCCCCCCAUUUCCAAAUCUAACCACAUUUCAUCUUUCCGAAUCUGGUUUGUCCCAAGUUCAUUUAUCAAGUUCAAAGGCUGAUCUUGCCCGUCCAAAGGUCCCUCCAUCUCUGAAGCCUCCGUCACUACAGCAGGUUCGUAUGCUUGUAUAGCCUUUAACUGAAUUUCAUUUGUUUGCUGCUGUGCUCUGGUAGCUUCCAUCCUCAAGGUCGUCUCCUGACGCAUCUGGUCCAGCUGGGCACUUAGUUUUGAAAAACCUUCCAGGAACAAUUGUUCCAGCCUUUGUACUAGCAUUGUCCUUCAAGGUCAAAGAAAAUUCUUUCCCACGAGAAUAGUCCAAUAGUCCUUCUCUUUUAAUCUCUCUGCGUUGCAAUUUCACUAAAUUCCACUAGAUGGAUUUUUUUUAAAAAAAAAGAAUAAAAGCAACAGCAACAAUCUUUCUUUUUCCAGAAACACUUUAUCCAAAAUUCCCCCUUCCAAAUUCAAGAGGCAACAGUAGAAUCAAAAUGUUACCCUUCUUUUAACUAACUGUCGAGCUGGAUAAACUUCAGAACGUCAAUUCUGACAGCCCGCUCCUGGUUCAGGGCGGUGGAAAAUUGCUUUAUUUUAAACUCACUUCCGCAGGAUUGAAAAGUCCAAAUACAACCCCCUUUUCUCCUGCUGUCAAAGGGGGGGUUCAGAAUCUUAGAUGUUGAAUUCUAGUUCUCUUAAAAUUUAAUUUUCAGGCUUUAGUAUAUUUUGUCUUUGCUUUCUUCACAUAACAAAAGAACGGAAGGCGACUUCCUGUUUAGACCUUCCCAUUCCGAGUCCCAAUUAAGUUCAAUUUCAAGUCCAAUAUUAUUUAUUUAUUCAUCAGUCUUAAAAGUGGUUCAGCUCUUCCAAGAUCAGGUACUCACGGAUAGAUGUUUUAGAUGCCAAAUUGUCCAGGAAAAGGCAGCGCUCUCCGAUAACGGCAGUGCGGCUUUGCUGCACGGAGGAAGCAGACGACUCACAGCACCACGCACCUCCCACUCCGGAGCCCGUUACCGGGCUCCUGUACAAGGGGAGAGCGCGCUCUCGGUGCCCGCCGAGUCCCACGUCCACAGGCUUCUUCCGCCUGUGGUUUUUGCGGGUCCCCGCUGCGCCGUAGCGGCAGGACCCAAGCCUCCGUGCAGCGGGUUCCCUUCAGUCCGAAGGGAAUUCCGCCAUUUUCCGGAGGCGCCACCCCGGAAGU